GUUGUCCAACGUGGGCUGAGACAGCCAGGUCUUUACACUCCUUCACUGAUCAAUCACUGAAUGUGGACUUUGUGGGAAAAGUGUGACCUUGGGCAAGGGGCAGAUCCUGAGGGACUGACAGUUGAAGGCCGAUCUGCCAAGUGCACCGUUAGUGGCCAAGGCAACAAGCUCUUCCCUGAAGAGGAAGCUGGGAGGCCCAUCACAACAUGCACACGGCUUUCUACAGAGCACCCCAGAGGACAAGCAGCACCCUUGAUUCCCUUCUCCAGCUGAAGUUCAGGGUGACAUGGUGACUGGCAGUGCACCUCAAGUGGAGUUGGAAGUGAACCCAAGGGCUUUGACUGCCAACUCUUCAUGCCCUGCUGACUCCUGCUGCUCAGCUUCACGUCUCCUGUGCCCUCUCUUCUCCUUUUCUCUGUUCAUUGCCCUCCCCAAUCUCCCUUUCUCCCAGCCUAGCUGCAGGCAGAACCUCUUCUGAAGUAGGACAGAUUAUUUCUAAACUUUAGCAGAGAGGAGUAGAUGGUAAGGAUUUCAGUGGUCUUUUGCACUCAAUGGAAAAGCCUAUAGAGAGCCUUGUUUCCCCCAAAGGAAACACUCCCAGGCUGUAAGACUUUGAACAGGCCAGGAGACCCCCUCCAGUUCCCUCCAGUAGGUGACCAGGCACCAUGCGCAGCAGUGCGAUGUGACAGCGUGUGGAGGGCUCUCCAGUAAGCCAGACUUGAGUGCAGAGUUCAUCUCCCUUUGCACUUAGGCUUUGUGACUUCUCUGAACCUUGGUUUCCUCCUCUGUUCAACCUAACUCAUAAAGUUUCAUAUUUGUUUAGAAAACAAACGCAAAGUACUGAACUCAGUGCCUUGUUGCAGCAUUCACAUGUUCUCAGAAAAUGGAAGUUCUCUUUCUUUUUCCUUUAACUCCCCUCCUCCAGCCCUAACUGAGAGAAGCAAUGGGAGUGAGUUUGAAUGGGAAAGAAGGAAGAGUAUUCCAGUAGGGAAGAACAAAGUGAGCUAAGACCAUAGGUGGGAAAGAGCUUGAUGUCUGCCUGUGAGAUGAACAGAGAGGUCAGGGUGGUUGUGUGUCCUGAGCAAGAAGGAUGGUGUCCCAAACUAAAUGGACCAUUAGGUAGUACUAGGCCACAUUAACACUUCGCCAGCCAGAAUUUGGUUUUUGUUCUGAAUACAAGAAGAAGCCACUGGAGAAUUAAGAACAGGAAAAAUAAUGUGAUCUGAUUUUCACUGUAAGAAGAUCACUUGGGCUAUUAAUGAAAAUGUUUAUG
This is a long non-coding RNA of Bos indicus x Bos taurus (hybrid cattle), 1273 nucleotides long. The record is from Ensembl. Lineage: Eukaryota; Metazoa; Chordata; Mammalia; Artiodactyla; Bovidae.